Aphis gossypii (cotton aphid) is the source of this 642-nucleotide long non-coding RNA. RefSeq lists it as uncharacterized. The transcript has 4 exons. The record is from RefSeq and is a predicted model, not a curated record. NCBI's taxonomy places the organism in Eukaryota, Metazoa, Arthropoda, Insecta, Hemiptera, Aphididae.
AAUUGUCUCGUAAUUUGUAUCAUAGGCAACCGCGCUAUACUCAUAAGCUAACUUACUGUUGCUGUAGUACCACUGUAACCACAGCGGUUAAAUCGCGGUCUUAGUGAUAAUAGCUGGUACUUACUAUCAAGAAUUACUGACGUCAUGGUUUUUGACGUUUUUUUUUAAAUUAAUUAUGCGUCAUACUUUUAUUAUUCAUAAAAUAUUCUGUUGAUUAUUCUUAUCCGUUGGCACGCGUUACUUCGUCGUGAUAGUUUUAUGUAUUUUUAAUUCACAAACACCGUCUUAAGAUUACAAGAGAUUGAACAACGAAUACAUCGAUUGUAUUGCUAUCAAUCAUUACAGUUUGUUCAGCUCGUGAAUCCAGGUUACAGAAAUGGACGAAAAUAAUUCAAAUAUAUCUAAUUUUGAGAAAUUAAAAAAAGAUCAAGAGGAAAAAGAAAGAUAUGAAGUUGCCAUUUCUCUUCUUAUGCUUUCAAAUGGGAUAGACAGAGAGAAUCAUGAAAAAUGUAUUGAAAAAGACCAAGACAGAGUUGUUACAAUCAUAAUACCCGAAGACAGCGAAAACACAUAAUGUCCAUUUUAUAUUAUAUUUAUUUUUAUUUAUAUUUGUUAUUAUAAUAUAUACCUUACCAGAAAAAA